UACGUAGGGGGCUAGCGUUGUCCGGAAUUAUUGGGCGUAAAGAGCUCGUAGGCGGUGUGUCGCGUCGGCCGUGAAAACCUGGGGCUUAACUCUGGGCGUGCGGUCGAUACGGGCAUCACUGGAGUUCGGCAGGGGAGACUGGAAUUCCUGGUGUAGCGGUGAAAUGCGCAGAUAUCAGGAGGAACACCGGUGGCGAAGGCGGGUCUCUGGGCCGAUACUGACGCUGAGGAGCGAAAGCAUGGGUAGCGAACAGG
RNAcentral lists this ribosomal RNA (254 nucleotides) under uncultured bacterium. RNAcentral's name for it is "partial 16S ribosomal RNA". It matches the Rfam family "Bacterial small subunit ribosomal RNA", at positions 524 to 776 of the family's 1533-position model. The record is from RNAcentral.